GCAGCAAUAACAUUAAGAUCAUAGAUGGUAAGAAUAAUCCUUUAAACCAGAAAACCCAAUCUAUACUAAUACCUAAUAUUUUAUGUACAUAUUCAAUAGCUAUCCCAUUGGGCGCCAUCCCUGUUAGAAACAUAAUACUAGUGAUUUUAGUAAUCAUAUAAGUAUUAAUCAUCAAGUAAGAACCUAUCUUCUUUGCUGUUUCUCCUGGAUUAGAAUCCAAUGCUACAGCUACACUUUGAA
Molecule: non-coding RNA, 240 nt
Filed under: uncultured Entomomonas sp.
Lineage: Bacteria; Pseudomonadati; Pseudomonadota; Gammaproteobacteria; Pseudomonadales; Pseudomonadaceae
Source: RNAcentral